This 427-nucleotide long non-coding RNA is filed under the name Fukomys damarensis (Damara mole-rat). RNAcentral's name for it is "lncRNA (ENSFDAG00000025853.1)". The record is from RNAcentral. Lineage: Eukaryota; Metazoa; Chordata; Mammalia; Rodentia; Bathyergidae.
CAGAGUCACUGCUCUACUUUCUGAUAUAGUGGUUCCCAACCAUCGUUUUGAGUAAGAGGAACUCCAUUAAAUAUUUCACUGCAGAAAUUCCCAAUAGACUCAAAGCUUUUCAUCUUUAUUAGAUGAAUCCAUAGAAGAAGGGAUGGUAAUGACUGGCUCAGCUCUGUGCUAUCCAUUUGCCAAGCUGAAACUUGUUCUUUGAUUAUUAAAGGUGGUACCUUCCCUCCAGAGAGCCUUCUUCUAGACACACAGAAAAGGAAAAGAAAGACGGAAAAAAGAAAUGCAUUGGAUAAUGCCUGGGUCCGAAUGUCUUAAGGACUGGCAAUCAUGGAUGUUGUGGAAAUAUUAUCUUUGCCUCCAUGACUGAAGACACACACAAUGAUCAGGUAAGGAUGAGCCAAAAAGAAAUCUUAGAUAUUUUUUUAAA